Molecule: ribosomal RNA, 465 nt
Filed under: Vreelandella stevensii
Lineage: Bacteria; Pseudomonadati; Pseudomonadota; Gammaproteobacteria; Oceanospirillales; Halomonadaceae
Description: partial 16S ribosomal RNA
Rfam family: Bacterial small subunit ribosomal RNA
Source: RNAcentral
CCUACGGGGGGCUGCAGUGGGGAAUAUUGGACAAUGGGGGGAACCCUGAUCCAGCCAUGCCGCGUGUGUGAAGAAGGCCCUCGGGUUGUAAAGCACUUUCAGUGAGGAAGAACGCCUGGUGGUUAAUACCCAUCAGGAAAGACAUCACUCACAGAAGAAGCACCGGCUAACUCCGUGCCAGCAGCCGCGGUAAUACGGAGGGUGCGAGCGUUAAUCGGAAUUACUGGGCGUAAAGCGCGCGUAGGUGGCUUGAUAAGCCGGUUGUGAAAGCCCCGGGCUCAACCUGGGAACGGCAUCCGGAACUGUCAAGCUAGAGUGCAGGAGAGGAAGGUAGAAUUCCCGGUGUAGCGGUGAAAUGCGUAGAGAUCGGGAGGAAUACCAGUGGCGAAGGCGGCCUUCUGGACUGAUACUGACACUGAGGUGCGAAAGCGUGGGUAGCAAACAGGAUUAGAUACCCGGGUAGUC